GAUAGGGAAAGUCAUCAAACGUCAGACGUCACUUUAUGGUCGCCAUUGAUUCAGAAAAAGCAAAUUUGUCUGCUGAGAAAAUCCAAACUUCCAGGAAAACGUUUAUUCCGCGUGUUUUUUGAAUUCCAAUCUCAUCAUGAGCAACGGCGGUGGAUUAGGCGGUGCCCGUCCGCCCCCCCGGAUUGAUGGCAUGGUCUCCCUGAAGGUGGACAAUCUCACAUAUCGAACCACACCGGAGGAUCUGCGUCGUGUUUUCGAGCGCUGUGGGGAGGUGGGAGACAUCUACAUACCCAGGGAUCGUUACACACGCGAAAGCCGUGGAUUCGCAUUCGUGCGCUUCUAUGAUAAACGCGAUGCUGAGGACGCACUUGAGGCCAUGGAUGGUCGCAUGCUAGACGGCAGGGAGCUCCGCGUUCAGAUGGCCCGCUAUGGUCGCCCCUCGUCUCCGACACGCAGCACCAGUGGGCGUCGUGGAGGUGGAGGUGGUGGUGGUGGUGGAGGUCCCGGUGGCGGUCGUCGCCGUUCUCGUUCUCGCUCUCCGAUGCGCCGACGCUCGCGCAGUCCUCGCCGCCGUUCUUACUCGCCACGGUCUCGUUCCCGUUCAGCGGGCAGCCGCUCGCCCGAGCGCCGCUCCAAAUUCUCGCGCAGUCCAGUGCGUGGCGACAGUCGAAAUGGUGUAGGUGGCGGAGGAUCGGGACUGGGUGCAUCUGGUUCCCGUAGUCGCAGCGGCUCCUAAAUAAGAUUAAAAACGUUCCAACUUGUGGAAGUGCGAGACAUUUCUCGCUGACAAAGCCGGAUUCCGUUACCUUAUCCGGAUCCGUGGCUUCACAUCCUGUGUCAUGCUGUACCCGAACAGCAGGAAAAAGGUGUGUGGCCGUUGGUUGUUGCGGUUCAGAUAAAAGAUUGUAAUUAUAUCGCGAGGGAGGCAGCAGCGAGCGCAUCAUCUCCACCUCCGUCUUCCCUGGAGCGGACAUCACGUGGCUGUUGUUGCUGCUGUAUCUGCAUCUGCAUCUGCUGUUGCUGUUGCUGCUGCACUCCUGUUCCUGCUCCCGUUUGCUGCACCUGCUACUGCUGUUGCUGUUGCCGUUGCCGCCGUUGCAGUUUCCUGAUUGCCGCUGCCGCUGAUACAGUCACUCCACUCCAUUCCAGCUGGCCACAGUUACAGCUUCUGGGAGUUGGGAGCUGGGAGCUGAGCUGUGCUGAACCGAGCGGCAUACCUGUAGUUUCCCGUUUGCUGUUUGCUGUUUCCUGUCACUUCUUCUCCUGUUCUCGCCUCGUCUCAUCUCGUCUCGUCAUUUGUUGCUGGUUGGCGUUGUUGGUGGUUUCCUGUCUGUUGGUCUGGGCUAAGUCGGUUUGGGCCCCUUUGAGUUUAGGCGAAUAAACUUUUCCAGCUGCGCCCCUACCAGCUAAGCCAUUGAUAUCGGAAUAUGAUAUGAUUUGGAAUAAUUACUUUAUUGCUUUCCCUUCUUCACGGCCUCCUUCAAUUGGUGAGUACAAGACUAAUAAACUUCCUUUGCAGCAACAAAAACGAAAUAAAAAUUCUUGUUUCUUUAA
Drosophila ananassae is the source of this 1554-nucleotide RNA transcript. It is a transcript of the gene named serine/arginine-rich splicing factor 2, with no coding region annotated. NCBI's taxonomy places the organism in Eukaryota, Metazoa, Arthropoda, Insecta, Diptera, Drosophilidae. The transcript is spliced from 5 exons. The record is from RefSeq and is a predicted model, not a curated record.